Molecule: ribosomal RNA, 482 nt
Filed under: uncultured bacterium
Lineage: Bacteria
Description: partial 16S ribosomal RNA
Rfam family: Bacterial small subunit ribosomal RNA
Source: RNAcentral
AGUGAACGUUGGCGGCGUGGAUUAGGCAUGCAAGUCGAGCGAGAACCGUAGCAAUACGGGGACAGCGGCGAAAGGGACAGUAAUGUGUAGGUACCUACCCCGAGGUCUGGGAUAGCUGCGGGAAACUGCAGGUAAUACCGGAUAAUGUCUUCGGACCAAAGGUGUGAUUCCACCUUGGGAGGGGCCUGCAUCCUAUUAGCUAGUUGGCGGGGUAAUGGCCCACCAAGGCGACGAUGGGUAGCGGGUGUGAGAGCACGACCCGCGUCAUUGGGAAUGAGACACUGCCCAGACACCUACGGGUGGCUGCAGUCGAGGAUCUUCGGCAAUAGGCGAAAGCCUGACCGAGCGACGCCGCGUGCGGGAUGAAGGCCUUCGGGUUGUAAACCGCUGUCGUAGAGGAGGAAAUGCAGGUGGGUUCUCCCAUCUGUUUGACCUAUUCUAGGAGGAAGUACGGGCUAAGUUCGUGCCAGCCGCCGCAGUAA